RNAcentral lists this ribosomal RNA (557 nucleotides) under Daphnia cf. chevreuxi sp. Israel. RNAcentral describes it as "partial small subunit ribosomal RNA". The record is from RNAcentral. Lineage: Eukaryota; Metazoa; Arthropoda; Branchiopoda; Diplostraca; Daphniidae.
GGUUAGACGAAGAAUCUAAAUAGGGUCGUUUGUUAGUUUAAUUAAUAGUAAGAUGGUUAUAAGUAAAUAUAUUUCUUUUCUUAGGUGAAAUUUUUAUAAAGAGACAAAUAUUCUUUUUUAUCUAAAAGAAUUAGAAAACAAAGAUAAAAAACCAGGAUUAGAUACCCUGUUAUUCUUUAUGAUUUUAAACAGGGUAGUAAAAGUUAUUCUUCAAACCCAAAGAUUUUGGCGGCAUUCUAACCAAACAGUGGAGCUUGUCCUAUAAUCGAUAACCCCCGUUUUAUCUUACCUUUUCUUGUCAAACUUGUAUACCUCCGUUGUCAGAUUACUCCGGAAGGAUGUUUUCUUUAAAAAUUUAUUUUUACUUCAGGUCAAGGUGCAGUUUAUGGAAAGGCAGUGGUAAGCUACAAUUUUUUAAAAAAUACGGAUAUUUAAAUUCGAAUUUGAUUGAAGGUGGAUUUGUUAGUAAAUUAAUUUAAGGAAAAUUAAUUGAAUAAGGCAAUAGUGUGCGUACAUAUCGCCCGUCACUCUCCUUCCAAAAGGAGAUAAGUCGUAAC